UCUUUCUGUGGAAGCGUUUGA
Molecule: non-coding RNA, 21 nt
Filed under: Caenorhabditis elegans
Lineage: Eukaryota; Metazoa; Nematoda; Chromadorea; Rhabditida; Rhabditidae
Source: RNAcentral